GAUGAACGCUGGCGGCGUGCCUAAUACAUGCAAGUCGAGCGAACAGACGAGGAGCUUGCUCCUCUGACGUUAGCGGCGGACGGGUGAGUAACACGUGGAUAACCUACCUAUAAGACUGGGAUAACUUCGGGAAACCGGAGCUAAUACCGGAUAAUAUAUUGAACCGCAUGGUUCAAUAGUGAAAGACGGUUUUCCUGUACCUAAUAGUGGAAUCCGCGCCGCAUUAGCUAGUUGGUAAGGUAACGGCUUACCAAGGCAACGAUGCGUAGCCGACCUGAGAGGGUGAUCGGCCACACUGGAACUGAGACACGGUCCAGACUCCUACGGGAGGCAGCAGUAGGGAAUCUUCCGCAAUGGGCGAAAGCUUGACGGAGCAACGCCGCGUGAGUGAUGAAGGUCUUCGGAUCGUAAAACUCUGUUAUUAGGGAAGAACAAAUGUGUAAGUAACUAUGCACGUCUUGACGGUACCUAAUCAGAAAGCCACGGCUAACUACGUG
RNAcentral lists this ribosomal RNA (497 nucleotides) under uncultured bacterium. RNAcentral's name for it is "partial 16S ribosomal RNA". It matches the Rfam family "Bacterial small subunit ribosomal RNA", at positions 28 to 507 of the family's 1533-position model. The record is from RNAcentral.